AUAAAUAUAUUAGAAAACGAAAGAAAUUGGGAAGGCCACUUGAUAUGAAAUUCAUUACAUAAAGGCCCAAUACUGCAAAAGUCUUCAGACAGCUCCAAGAAUCUUAAGCUCAGAGAAUAUGAGCUAAUACACCAUGUACUACUGACAUGUACUAUUUGCAGACACAUCAUGCAAAAACAAUAGGAGAUAAAAAAAAAUAGAAUACUACGUUCACAGGUGGUCUAUGAGCAAAAGCUGCAACCUUUGCUCGCAAAGUAAGAAUAUCGAAAGAAAAUGCUCUUAAUAAACCUUAAUGCAAGUUCACAUUUUACAAGCUUGCAGAACUAAUGAUAAAAGUUCCAGAUUGGAGUGGCUCCUCACUCCCAUCAACAGGUCAGUGCCCUAGUAAGUUUAAAAGCACAGCAGAAACAAGUGUGCUUGGAAAUUUAAACGUUAAAAGAAAGCAGUAAUAAAGUGAGCAAAAGAAAAGGGAAUGAAAAACUCCCCAAAAUAUCGUUACUUGCUUAAAGACAACUGCUUCCUUCACAAAAGUUAUUCAUGUUAGAAGCACAAUCUCCUAUCCUAAACUCGUUCUUCCUUCACUUAAUCUACACAGACAUCAAAACUCAACCAAAAACAGAAACUACCACACAAACAGAAC
Molecule: long non-coding RNA, 640 nt
Organism: Populus euphratica (Euphrates poplar)
Lineage: Eukaryota; Viridiplantae; Streptophyta; Magnoliopsida; Malpighiales; Salicaceae
Exons: 2
Source: RefSeq, a predicted model, not a curated record